AAAUGAAUAGACGGGGGCCCGCACAAGCAGUGGAGUAUGUGGUUUAAUUCGACGCAACGCGAAAAACCUUACCAGGUCUUGACAUCCGACUAACGAGGCAGAGAUGCGUUAGGUGCCCUUCGGGGAAAGUCGAGACAGGUGGUGCAUGGUUGUCGUCAGCUCGUGUCGUGAGAUGUUGGGUUAAGUCCCGCAACGAGCGCAACCCCUAUUGUUAGUUGCUACGCAAGAGCACUCUAGCAAGACUGCCGUUGACAAAACGGAGGAAGGUGGGGAUGACGUCAAAUCAUCAUGCCCUUUAUGACCUGGGCUACACACGUACUACAAUGGCGACCAAACAACGGGGAGCGAAGGGGUGACCUGGAGCAAAUCCCAAAAAGUCGUCUCAGUUCAGAUUGCAGGCUGCAACUCGCCUGCAUGAAGUCGGAAUUGCUAGUAAUCGCGAAUCAGCAUGUCGCGGUGAAUACGUUCCCGGGCCUUGUACACACCGCCCGU
This 492-nucleotide ribosomal RNA is filed under the name uncultured bacterium. Its description in RNAcentral is "bacterial SSU rRNA". It matches the Rfam family "Bacterial small subunit ribosomal RNA", at positions 903 to 1397 of the family's 1533-position model. The record is from RNAcentral.